GUCCACGCCGUAAACGAUGGAUGCUAGCCGUCGGGACUCACGUCUCGGUGGCGACGCUAACGCAUUAAGCAUCCCGCCUGGGGAGUACGGUCGCAAGAUUAAAACUCAAAGGAAUUGACGGGGACCCCGCACAAGCGGUGGAGCAUGUGGUUUAAUUCGAAGCAACGCGAAGAACCUUACCAGGACUUGACAUGGGUAGUUUGGAUUUCAGAGAUGAUUUCCUUCAGCUUGGCUGGCUACCACACAGGUGCUGCACGGCUGUCGU
This 265-nucleotide ribosomal RNA is filed under the name uncultured bacterium. RNAcentral describes it as "partial 16S ribosomal RNA". It matches the Rfam family "Bacterial small subunit ribosomal RNA", at positions 793 to 1055 of the family's 1533-position model. The record is from RNAcentral.